This 347-nucleotide ribosomal RNA is filed under the name uncultured bacterium. RNAcentral describes it as "bacterial SSU rRNA". It matches the Rfam family "Bacterial small subunit ribosomal RNA", at positions 32 to 369 of the family's 1533-position model. The record is from RNAcentral.
AAUCAACGCUGGCGGCGUGCCUCAGACAUGCAAGUCGAACGAUUAAAGCUCUCUUCGGAGAGUGUAUAGAGUGGCGCACGGGUGAGUAACACGUAAGUAAUCUACCUUUGAGUGGGGAAUAACAAUCGGAAACGAUUGCUAAUACCGCAUAAUGCAGCGGCAUCGCAAGAUGACAGUUGUUAAAGGAGCAAUCCGCUUAAAGAGGAGCUUGCGGCAGAUUAGCUAGUUGGUAAGGUAAUGGCUUACCAAGGCUACGAUCUGUAACCGGUCUAAGAGGACGGUCGGUCACACUGACACUGAAUAACGGGUCAGACUCCUACGGGAGGCAGCAGUCGGGAAUUUUGGGC